RNAcentral lists this transfer RNA (65 nucleotides) under Barbitistes serricauda. RNAcentral's name for it is "transfer RNA-Leu". The record is from RNAcentral. Lineage: Eukaryota; Metazoa; Arthropoda; Insecta; Orthoptera; Tettigoniidae.
ACUAUUUUGGCAGAGAAGUGCCUUGGAUUUAGAAUCCUAAUAUGUAAUGAAUGUUACAAAUAGUA